GUUUUUCGCUUGAGGAUGAGCCCAUGUGGGAUUAGCUAGUUGGUGAGGUAAUGGCUCACCAAGGCGACGAUCCCUAACUGGUCUUAGAGGAUGAUCAGUCACACUGGAACUGAGACACGGUCCAGACUCCUACGGGAGGCAGCAGUAGGGAAUAUUGCACAAUGGGGGAAACCCUGAUGCAGCGACGCCGCGUGAGCGAUGAAGGCCUUCGGGUCGUAAAGCUCUGUCGCAUGGGAAUAACACAAUG
This 247-nucleotide ribosomal RNA is filed under the name uncultured Bdellovibrio sp. RNAcentral describes it as "partial 16S ribosomal RNA". It matches the Rfam family "Bacterial small subunit ribosomal RNA", at positions 210 to 456 of the family's 1533-position model. The record is from RNAcentral. Lineage: Bacteria; Pseudomonadati; Bdellovibrionota; Bdellovibrionia; Bdellovibrionales; Pseudobdellovibrionaceae.